ACGGUCUUCCCCUCCCCCUCUCCCACACGAACGACCUGCGGACUCCUCUCAUCUCUCCCGACGGACGAACCCUAGGGCAGGGUGCCAAGCAAGGUGGCGUGCAGAGUGCUCUUCAGCCGUUGCAGCAGCGGCCAUGGCGGCCCAUCGCGUGGCGGCGUGGAUUCACUAAGGCGCAACGAGUCUUCAUCUUCGCCAACUCCACAGGUUUAGGUUUAGGUUGAGGAUGAGGGGGUGACGCUGCGAUGCUGUGCAUGCAAGGUGGUGGUGCGACGGGAGCAUCAUCGUCCUGCCGAAUCUAAUCCCUAUCGAAGCCCAUGGUGACUUGAGGGGUGAGGGCGCUGUGCUGAGACAUUCUGAUUGGAAUUGCCACAAAUCAGAUAGUAGUUGGCUGACGACAAAAGCUAUGGUAGUGGUGAGGCCAACAGCAGGGGGCAACAAGUACAUCUGCUACAUCUCGAUGGCCAGGUCCAGUCACCUCCGACUUUGGUUCCCUCUUUUCUUCACUCAAUCCAAUCCAUCAUGUUGAUCUGGUUGACUGUCCUCAUUUGAUCUGAUUGAUCCGUGAUUUGGUUAACUGCAUCUAGGCCCGUGCGGGAGGGAGUGCGACUGGUACGCACGAACAGGUCCCUGAUUUUGAUUGUGCCCAAAUAAUAUGGCCUAUCAGACCUGCCGAUUCCAAAAUUAGCUAUCAUCUGAUUAAUUAUCUGAUCUGUCAAUCUGUGCAUACUACUAUCAACAGUCCACAUGGAGACUGCAGAGCAAAUUAGGAGAGGCCUCCAGGAGGCCAGCAAGGAGCAGGCCGCUGGUUGCAUAAUUCUUGCCUUUGUGUUCCUGAUUCCUAAUUCCUAAAGUCUAAAGAACAAGAGCGUAACUCUGAAGCAUUAGCACGAGAUUUUGUUGGCAGCAACAGUGAGAAAUCAGGAACAUCUAAGGCAGCAUAGACAUAAAAAAAUGAAGGAAUACCUUAGUUCACCACAGAGAAAAAGCGUUGGAGGAGUCGGGCAGCAACACGACGUCAACCAUGUGUGAUGCCAUCCUCCGACAAGGCUCGUGCAUGGUCAUGUGAUCUGGUAUCAUCAGCACCUUGGACAACCUCAGCCUCGGACAAGCCUCGUGCACGGUCGUGUGAUCCGGUAUUGUUGCUACUAUCAUGUUAAGCUCAAAAUUCUUGCAAAGCAAAAACUUUGUCUGUAGUGUUGGGUGUUUGGGGUUGGGGAUCUGCUGCCCAGGUUCCUUCAACAAAGAAUGAGCAGGCACAUUGGAAAUGCUCUGAAGGCACUAGGGGGGGCCAUGGUGGUAGACGGCGCACACAGCUGUCCAUGCUCUAAAGGCGUAGCUGCAGGCUACGGACAGCUCCUACGCAUGCGAUGUGGGCGUAAGCGCAUAGCGGCAGGCUGCGGUGGGACGACAACAACCUGCAACUGUGAGGCGAUGGGUCCCAUAGCCUCCCCGCUGUCAUCCCCUAUAUGGCGGUGACUGGCGAGCGGACUUGGCCCCAGCACCCUCCACAUUAUGAGAAGUUGCUUACUGUCAUGUUGGUGCAGGUAUGAUGUUCGACAAAAUAUCUCUAAAGUUGCAGUCUCACCUGAUAAAAAAUGUUUAUUUUUUCUGUCACGUGAUGACGCUCAAUGUGUCUUAGUGGGUGUUGUUGUGAACUAUUGCUGCUUGGUCAACAUUUGCCUGCCACUGCUAAUUCCCAUAUAACUGUUUCCAUGUGUCUAAUUUUGGUAUGACUGUUUCCUGCAAAAAAAAUGUUGCAUCUUCAAUUUUCCAAGGUACAGUGGUCUCUUGGUUGCCUGCAAUGGUCUUAAACAUUGUAUGGUUCCAUUAUGUUAAGACUUAAAAUAAAACUUGUAUGCACUAUUGAUUUUUCUGUGUGAUUGCUUCAACAAAAGCUAGCGUAUUCAACUAUAGUUCUGGUUAUUCUUUUUACUGCAUUUAGAACUAACAACUAUACUUGUGGUCAUUUAAGAUUAAAGAGGUUCUGCUAAUCAAGGCAUCGACAGUGGCACAGAUCAUCAUGGACGGAGCAAUUUUGUACACUCUAACUUUACUGGUCAUAGAAUAUGUCCUCUUUUUUACAUUUAGAUUUAGAUAUAAUUUUCUCUAACCUUCUCUUCACUUCAUUCUAUAAAAUAGAUAGCACUGCACCAAGGUCGCUAGGUUCAGGGUCAGGUUUCAGUUAGUUCUAAAUAGAGGCAAACAAUUGCACGUCAAGGGGGACAAACUCAUGUUAUUUAUCAUGUUUUCCUGAUUAAACUAAAAUUAUCGUGGCUACAAAUUAUGGAUUUAGAAUGAAUUAUAGUUUGUGUAUUUUUCUUAGUCAACAAUUAGAAGACUCACCACAAAAAUAUUGUGGCUGUCUUAACCUGCCAAAAGGCAGUGUACAGCUGCAAUGCUUGCUCUUCUAGAUGGCAAAUCAAAAGAUAAGUGGUUAAACCCCGCAUCGGUUAUUUUCAGAUUUCCUAGCACUCUGGGAUCCACAGAGAAGCACAACUCAUAGAAGGUAACCACCAAUCAAAUCUUGUUGCCAUAUAUGUACGUUCGCACGUCCAUGAAUAUCUCAGCCUCCGGUGCAUGAUGAAGCCGACACUGCUCCUGCCCCAACGGGCCACGACCUCAUGUUCCACCCCUGCGUCCACUUUCACAUCGACGUCGUCACUGUCCAUGCCGAGUUCACGGCCACUGGACACUAAGAAAGUUGACAUCAAGGUUGGAAUCACCUCGACGACGGUCUCCUCUCAUCUCCCCACCUUAGCUUGAUAAUGAUGACUUCUCUGUCCAUGUGUUUUUUUCUUUUUUUAUAAAGGAACAUAUGCCUCCGAGUAUAACGUCUGCAGAUUGGAACUCAAGGUGGAGAGUUCUGAUUGGUUGAACUUAUAUUAGAUCAUGUUUGAGAUUUGAUAACAGAAAAUAUAAUUUUAGAGUAUUUUCAAUAUGAUGGUAACAAAUUAUGAGUUUGUUUACUUGUGUAUGCUUUAAUAUAUAUAACGUAUCUAGCACCAAUCUAUAGUAAUCAUGAUCCAUGGUUGUAGUUGUUAUGUAAUAGCACUUCAGAUCCUUUGUGUUCACUUCAUUUGAUUCUCUUUUUGUUUAUGGAUGUUGAGAGCUUCAUAGUUUAGAUAUAAAAUUAAAAAUUUACAUGUCGGCAAAUAACUAUAUGGAUGUAAUGUUAUCUCGUCAUGUAGGCAAAAGACAAGGCAUGUUUGUUUUGGGGGUGCUUCAGUGCUCCACUGCUACUAGAAUGAGGAGAUAACAUAUUGCUUGGUUUACAAAUAUGUAUUCUUUAUUUAGUUUGUGCUAUGAUUAAGUUGUGGUUAGGUCAUGAACGCUUCUGAACUUUCUACCACAUGCAAAGGAAUGAUGGAAAGCACACACUUUCUUGAGAAAGUGUCAAGGAUCUUUGGAAAGAAUGAUGAGAUCAUCUUCCGAUGAGCCCAAAGAAGAACGUGAAUCCUAUGCAGCAAUGGCGCCCACAGCGGGAGGGUUGGCUCAAGUGCAACAAACAAGGACAAGAGUGUACGGGGUGGUUCUCUGAAACGACCUAGGUCUCUUUGUUGGAGCACGGCUGAGAGGUGGUACCCCCAUGGCUUUGAUGCAUUGACCUGAAAGCUUUUGACUUGUGGGCAUAGUGCUGCUCUAGCGUGAGACAAGAGGGUGCUGCAACUUAUCCUGGAGACCGAUAGCCAAGAGUUUGUGAAGUUAUGGAAGGAGGGCGCCAACCAACAAUCAUGGAUUGCGCUAAUCAUCAAGGAAACCUAGAGAGAUUAGCUCAUGUUUUGUAGAUUUUUCUAUGAUGAUACAAGUCGCUUUUGUAACUGAGUUGCUCAUGUGUUAGCUAAGCAAGUCUUGUAACUGAGUUGCUCAUGUGUUAGCUAAGCAAGUUUCAAGGCACGCAGUAUUGCCCAUAUGACAGGCAUUAAUAUCUACAUAUAUACUUGAACCCAUGUAUAGCAUUACACAUAUGACGAUUAAUUUUACAAACUUUGUUUUUUAUUAAAUGUCA
Sorghum bicolor (sorghum) is the source of this 4006-nucleotide long non-coding RNA. RefSeq lists it as uncharacterized. The record is from RefSeq and is a predicted model, not a curated record. Lineage: Eukaryota; Viridiplantae; Streptophyta; Magnoliopsida; Poales; Poaceae. The transcript has 4 exons.